Molecule: long non-coding RNA, 357 nt
Organism: Octopus sinensis (East Asian common octopus)
Lineage: Eukaryota; Metazoa; Mollusca; Cephalopoda; Octopoda; Octopodidae
Exons: 3
Source: RefSeq, a predicted model, not a curated record
AAUCAAAAGAGGAGUUUUUUUGUAGCUGAAAAGCAAUGUGUUUUUCAACAGAGUAUUUUUCUGAUAUGGCAGUUAAUGCACAAAGAAAUGCGAAUAAAUUGAACACGAUACUGAACCGUGGCAAAAGCAGAGGCAGGAACCAUCUUCAAAGAUUUCAGUCAAUUAUAUUGCCUCUGAUGGAACUUCCAAGAUAGAAACAGUCUUUCCUACCUGGUUUAAUGUGAAGAAGAAGAUAUUGCUUGUGUGCAGGUAGUUUCAACACUACCAAGUAAAUGGGAACCACCAGGUAUAUGCAAAAUAUUUGUAAGACAUUUCAAGUCGCAAAAAAUGCAGCCAGUGAGAUGUUUAAUACCAUUA